Molecule: long non-coding RNA, 416 nt
Organism: Diceros bicornis minor
Lineage: Eukaryota; Metazoa; Chordata; Mammalia; Perissodactyla; Rhinocerotidae
Exons: 3
Source: RefSeq, a predicted model, not a curated record
UCUAUUAUCACGGAUAUAGUUUAUGAGAAAUCAAUACCACAGACUGAUGUACAAUUUAAAACUUUGAUGACAGCUGAGCAAAGGCCACUCAAGACAGAGAAUUGUGGCUGUGAGCCUAGAGAGGCUGAUGAUCUUGGGACAAGAGAGGAGGAAAUUGUCUACCAUUCAAAAAAUGCAAGGAUCCUGAGACAUGAAGUCAUUUAUCAUUGUGAUGCUAGAAAUGCUACUCUAAACUUUUCAGCUUCUCAAAUUUAAUAAGCAGUUGUCUUUUUUUUAAACAAUGAAAAACAUUUUUAUUGUUUUGUAUAUUACACAAGUAAUGCAGGGAUACAUUCUCAUUGUAAAAAUUCAUACACUGAACUAUCUAGAGUGCAAUGUGAGUCUCCUUUCCCUCUCACCUCUUCAUUCUCAUCUUA